This 252-nucleotide ribosomal RNA is filed under the name uncultured bacterium. Its description in RNAcentral is "partial 16S ribosomal RNA". It matches the Rfam family "Bacterial small subunit ribosomal RNA", at positions 524 to 776 of the family's 1533-position model. The record is from RNAcentral.
UACGUAGGGGGCGAGCGUUGUCCGGAAUUAUUGGGCGUAAAGCGCGCGCAGGCGGUGAUGUAAGUUUGGUGUAUAAGCCCGUGGCUCAACCACGGGACGCACUGAAAACUGUGUCGCUCGAGUGCAGGAGAGGAAAGUGGAAUUCCACGUGUAGCGGUGAAAUGCGUAGAGAUGUGGAGGAACACCAGUGGCGAAGGCGACUUUCUGGCCUGUAACUGACGCUGAGGCGCGAAAGCGUGGGGAGCAAACAGG